RNAcentral lists this ribosomal RNA (467 nucleotides) under uncultured bacterium. RNAcentral describes it as "partial 16S ribosomal RNA". It matches the Rfam family "Bacterial small subunit ribosomal RNA", at positions 28 to 507 of the family's 1533-position model. The record is from RNAcentral.
GACGAACGCUGGCGGCGUGCUUAACACAUGCAAGUCGAACGAUGAUCAGGAGCUUGCUCCUGUGAUUAGUGGCGAACGGGUGAGUAACACGUGAGUAACCUGCCCCUGACUCUGGGAUAAGCGUUGGAAACGACGUCUAAUACUGGAUAUGAUCACUGGCCGCAUGGUCUGGUGGUGGAAAGAUUUUUUGGUUGGGGAUGGACUCGCGGCCUAUCAGCUUGUUGGUGAGGUAAUGGCUCACCAAGGCGACGACGGGUAGCCGGCCUGAGAGGGUGACCGGCCACACUGGGACUGAGACACGGCCCAGACUCCUACGGGAGGCAGCAGUGGGGAAUAUUGCACAAUGGGCGAAAGCCUGAUGCAGCAACGCCACGUGAGGGAUGACGGCCUUCGGGUUGUAAACCUCUUUUAGUAGGGAAGAAGCGAAAGUGACGGUACCUGCAGAAAAAGCACCGGCUAACUACGUG